This 484-nucleotide ribosomal RNA is filed under the name uncultured bacterium. RNAcentral's name for it is "partial 16S ribosomal RNA". It matches the Rfam family "Bacterial small subunit ribosomal RNA", at positions 30 to 507 of the family's 1533-position model. The record is from RNAcentral.
AUUGAACGCUGGCGGCAGGCCUAACACGUGCAAGUCGAGCGGAUGAAGGGAGCUUGCUCCUGGAUUCAGCGGCGGACGGGUGAGUAAUGCCUAGGAAUCUGCCUGUUAGUGGGGGAUAACGUCCGGACACGGGCGCUAAUACCGCAUACGUCCUGAGGGAGAAAGUGGGGGAUCUUCGGACCUCACGCUAUCAGAUGAGCCUAGGUCGGAUUAGCUAGUUGGUGGGGUAAAGGCCUACCAAGGCGACGAUCCGUAACUGGUCUGAGAGGAUGAUCAGUCACACUGGAACUGAGACACGGUCCAGACUCCUACGGGAGGCAGCAGUGGGGAAUAUUGGACAAUGGGCGAAAGCCUGAUCCAGCCAUGCCGCGUGUGUGAAGAAGGUCUUCGGAUUGUAAAGCACUUUAAGUGGGGAGGAAGGGCAGUAAGUUAAUACCUUGCUGUUUUGACGUUACCAACAGAAUAAGCACCGGCUAACUUCGUG